UCCCAACAACGUCUUUGGACUCAGCUCCUG
Molecule: non-coding RNA, 30 nt
Filed under: Homo sapiens (human)
Lineage: Eukaryota; Metazoa; Chordata; Mammalia; Primates; Hominidae
Source: RNAcentral